UUAAGCGACUAAGCGUACACGGUGGAUGCCCUGGCAGUCAGAGGCGAUGAAGGACGUGCUAAUCUGCGAUAAGCGUCGGUGAGGUGAUAUGAACCGUUAUAACCGGCGAUUUCCGAAUGGGGAAACCCAGUGUGUUUCGACACACUAUCAUUAACUGAAUCCAUAGGUUAAUGAGGCGAACCGGGGGAACUGAAACAUCUAAGUACCCCGAGGAAAAGAAAUCAACCGAGAUUCCCCCAGUAGCGGCGAGCGAACGGGGAGGAGCCCAGAGCCUGAAUCAGUGUGUGUGUUAGUGGAAGCGUCUGGAAAGGCGUGCGAUACAGGGUGACAGCCCCGUACACAAAAAUGCACAUAUUGUGAGCUCGAUGAGUAGGGCGGGACACGUGGUAUCCUGUCUGAAUAUGGGGGGACCAUCCUCCAAGGCUAAAUACUCCUGACUGACCGAUAGUGAACCAGUACCGUGAGGGAAAGGCGAAAAGAACCCCGGCGAGGGGAGUGAAAAAGAACCUGAAACCGUGUACGUACAAGCAGUGGGAGCCUCUUAAUGGGGUGACUGCGUACCUUUUGUAUAAUGGGUCAGCGACUUAUAUUCUGUAGCAAGGUUAACCGAAUAGGGGAGCCGAAGGGAAACCGAGUCUUAACUGGGCGUUAAGUUGCAGGGUAUAGACCCGAAACCCGGUGAUCUAGCCAUGGGCAGGUUGAAGGUUGGGUAACACUAACUGGAGGACCGAACCGACUAAUGUUGAAAAAUUAGCGGAUGACUUGUGGCUGGGGGUGAAAGGCCAAUCAAACCGGGAGAUAGCUGGUUCUCCCCGAAAGCUAUUUAGGUAGCGCCUCGUGAAUUCAUCUCCGGGGGUAGAGCACUGUUUCGGCAAGGGGGUCAUCCCGACUUACCAACCCGAUGCAAACUGCGAAUACCGGAGAAUGUUAUCACGGGAGACACACGGCGGGUGCUAACGUCCGUCGUGAAGAGGGAAACAACCCAGACCGCCAGCUAAGGUCCCAAAGUCAUGGUUAAGUGGGAAACGAUGUGGGAAGGCCCAGACAGCCAGGAUGUUGGCUUAGAAGCAGCCAUCAUUUAAAGAAAGCGUAAUAGCUCACUGGUCGAGUCGGCCUGCGCGGAAGAUGUAACGGGGCUAAACCAUGCACCGAAGCUGCGGCAGCGACACUAUGUGUUGUUGGGUAGGGGAGCGUUCUGUAAGCCUGUGAAGGUGGCCUGUGAGGGUUGCUGGAGGUAUCAGAAGUGCGAAUGCUGACAUAAGUAACGAUAAAGCGGGUGAAAAGCCCGCUCGCCGGAAGACCAAGGGUUCCUGUCCAACGUUAAUCGGGGCAGGGUGAGUCGACCCCUAAGGCGAGGCCGAAAGGCGUAGUCGAUGGGAAACAGGUUAAUAUUCCUGUACUUGGUGUUACUGCGAAGGGGGGACGGAGAAGGCUAUGUUGGCCGGGCGACGGUUGUCCCGGUUUAAGCGUGUAGGCUGGUUUUCCAGGCAAAUCCGGAAAACCAAGGCUGAGGCGUGAUGACGAGGCACUACGGUGCUGAAGCGACAAAUGCCCUGCUUCCAGGAAAAGCCUCUAAGCAUCAGGUAACAUCAAAUCGUACCCCAAACCGACACAGGUGGUCAGGUAGAGAAUACCAAGGCGCUUGAGAGAACUCGGGUGAAGGAACUAGGCAAAAUGGUGCCGUAACUUCGGGAGAAGGCACGCUGAUAUGUAGGUGAAGCGACUUGCUCGUGGAGCUGAAAUCAGUCGAAGAUACCAGCUGGCUGCAACUGUUUAUUAAAAACACAGCACUGUGCAAACACGAAAGUGGACGUAUACGGUGUGACGCCUGCCCGGUGCCGGAAGGUUAAUUGAUGGGGUUAGCGGCAACGCGAAGCUCUUGAUCGAAGCCCCGGUAAACGGCGGCCGUAACUAUAACGGUCCUAAGGUAGCGAAAUUCCUUGUCGGGUAAGUUCCGACCUGCACGAAUGGCGUAAUGAUGGCCAGGCUGUCUCCACCCGAGACUCAGUGAAAUUGAACUCGCUGUGAAGAUGCAGUGUACCCGCGGCAAGACGGAAAGACCCCGUGAACCUUUACUAUAGCUUGACACUGAACAUUGAGCCUUGAUGUGUAGGAUAGGUGGGAGGCUUUGAAGUGUGGACGCCAGUCUGCAUGGAGCCGACCUUGAAAUACCACCCUUUAAUGUUUGAUGUUCUAACGUUGGCCCGUAAUCCGGGUUGCGGACAGUGUCUGGUGGGUAGUUUGACUGGGGCGGUCUCCUCCUAAAGAGUAACGGAGGAGCACGAAGGUUGGCUAAUCCUGGUCGGACAUCAGGAGGUUAGUGCAAUGGCAUAAGCCAGCUUGACUGCGAGCGUGACGGCGCGAGCAGGUGCGAAAGCAGGUCAUAGUGAUCCGGUGGUUCUGAAUGGAAGGGCCAUCGCUCAACGGAUAAAAGGUACUCCGGGGAUAACAGGCUGAUACCGCCCAAGAGUUCAUAUCGACGGCGGUGUUUGGCACCUCGAUGUCGGCUCAUCACAUCCUGGGGCUGAAGUAGGUCCCAAGGGUAUGGCUGUUCGCCAUUUAAAGUGGUACGCGAGCUGGGUUUAGAACGUCGUGAGACAGUUCGGUCCCUAUCUGCCGUGGGCGCUGGAGAACUGAGGGGGGCUGCUCCUAGUACGAGAGGACCGGAGUGGACGCAUCACUGGUGUUCGGGUUGUCAUGCCAAUGGCACUGCCCGGUAGCUAAAUGCGGAAGAGAUAAGUGCUGAAAGCAUCUAAGCACGAAACUUGCCCCGAGAUGAGUUCUCCCUGACUCCUUGAG
This 2799-nucleotide ribosomal RNA is filed under the name Escherichia coli. RNAcentral's name for it is "bacterial LSU rRNA". It matches the Rfam family "Bacterial large subunit ribosomal RNA". The record is from RNAcentral. Lineage: Bacteria; Pseudomonadati; Pseudomonadota; Gammaproteobacteria; Enterobacterales; Enterobacteriaceae. RNAcentral also lists the same sequence under 3 other names.